UACGUAGGGACCAAGCGUUGUUCGGAUUUACUGGGCGUAAAGGGCGCGUAGGCGGCGUGACAAGUCACUUGUGAAAUCUCUGAGCUUAACUCAGAACGGCCAAGUGAAACUGUUGUGCUAGAGUGCAGAAGGGGCAAUCGGAAUUCUUGGUGUAGCGGUGAAAUGCGUAGAUAUCAGGAGGAACACCGAUGGCGAAGGCAGGUCUCUGGGCCGAUACUGACGCUGAGGAGCGAAAGCGUGGGGAGCGAACAGG
Molecule: ribosomal RNA, 253 nt
Filed under: uncultured bacterium
Lineage: Bacteria
Description: partial 16S ribosomal RNA
Rfam family: Bacterial small subunit ribosomal RNA
Source: RNAcentral